This 238-nucleotide ribosomal RNA is filed under the name uncultured bacterium. Its description in RNAcentral is "partial 16S ribosomal RNA". It matches the Rfam family "Bacterial small subunit ribosomal RNA", at positions 96 to 334 of the family's 1533-position model. The record is from RNAcentral.
UGGCGGACGGGUGAGUAACGCGUGGGUAACCUGCCUCAUACAGGGGGAUAACAGUUAGAAAUGACUGCUAAUACCGCAUAAGACCACAGUACCGCAUGGUACAGGGGUAAAAACUCCGGUGGUAUGAGAUGGACCCGCGUCUGAUUAGGUAGUUGGUGGGGUGACGGCCUACCAAGCCGACGAUCAGUAGCCGACCUGAGAGGGUGACCGGCCACAUUGGGACUGAGACACGGCCCAA